This 73-nucleotide transfer RNA is filed under the name Stegodyphus mimosarum. It matches the Rfam family "tRNA". From Rfam's summary of the family: Transfer RNA (tRNA) molecules are approximately 80 nucleotides in length. Lineage: Eukaryota; Metazoa; Arthropoda; Arachnida; Araneae; Eresidae. The record is from Rfam by way of RNAcentral.
GUCUUCGUGGUGUAGUGGUCAGCCCGCUCGACACGUAUUCGAGAGGUUUGAGGUUCGAGUCCUAGCGAAGACA